Molecule: non-coding RNA, 98 nt
Organism: Gorilla gorilla gorilla (western lowland gorilla)
Lineage: Eukaryota; Metazoa; Chordata; Mammalia; Primates; Hominidae
Source: Rfam
UUGCUUUGGUAGCACAUGUACUAUAAUUGGAAUGAUACAGAGAAGAUUAGCAUGGCCUCUGUGAAAGGAUGACAUGCAAAUUUGUGAAGCAUAUUUUU